AUGUUCCUGUCCAGGCUGAAGGAUCCAGAAGUACCUUCAAGAUGCCAAUUCACUUCCGCUCCCAAGAAGACCCCGCAGCCCCAUUGUGCUCCUCCUCAGAGCGGCCGGCACUGGGCAUGCAGAGACCGCCUUCAGUGCUGGGCUGAGGCUCUCUCCCCACCUGGAGAACCGCAGGUCGCAAGACCCAGGGGGGCCGCCUGGGUGGCUCAGGGGUUGAGCAUCUGCAUUUGGCUCAGGGCGUGGCCCUGGGGUGGGGUGGGGGGGCUCCCUGCAGGGAGCCUGCUUCUGUCUCUGCCUCUCUCUGUGUCUCGAAUGAAUGAUAGAAUGAAUGAAUGAAUAAAUAAAUAAAAUAGAAGACAGAGGGGCAGACGCAGCUCAGGAAAUGUCCAAUACACACAACGCUAUCUUGAAAGAAAAAAUUCCAGAAUAGGUUUCGAAGACUGGAACAUUUCUCUUUUUGAAAUCACUCUUCUAUCCCAUCUGAAAACAAAAAUUAAGAGGAUCUACCCUGUGUCAGGGGACAAUGAACGAAUAAGUUGUGUCAAAGUAGGUAAUUUAAAAAUGACACCAAAAGGUACACGUGACUUAUCACAAGCUCUGAGCAAGGUGUGUAAGCAUCCCUCUACACACACUGACAUUCACACUCAGGGCCUUGCCUUAAGUAACCAACCGAACUCAAAACUCCUGACACCAUGAGCUACUAUGGCAGCUACUCUGGAGGCCUGAGCUCUGGCUGUGGCUGAGGAGGCUGCAGAUACGGCUGCUGCCACCCCCAGUGCUAGGGAGGAUACGGGUUCUCUGCCUUCUACCCAAAUUCUGCCCCAAGAGCCCAACAUCUGAGGCCAUAAACGGAGUCUCCAAACCUGACUACAAUAAUCAAACCAAACAAGAUCAUUCAAGACCAAGCCAAGAUAAAAAGCAUAUGUAGCUUCUAAGAUUUUAGGCAUAUUUAUCACUUUAUAAUGUUCUCUUUCGUGUCUCCUGGUUUCCUUUAUUUGUGCUUUUAUAACUGUGAUAUUUCUCUAUUCCUUUUGCAAUAAAUUAUCUUAAAACAGUAAAAAAGGAAAGAGG
RNAcentral lists this long non-coding RNA (1071 nucleotides) under Canis lupus familiaris (dog). RNAcentral describes it as "lncRNA (ENSCAFG00030010816.1)". Lineage: Eukaryota; Metazoa; Chordata; Mammalia; Carnivora; Canidae. The record is from RNAcentral.